AGGCAGCAAGCCCACAGACUGCCGCUGCAGCUCCUGUGUAACCGUCCUCCCUCCUCCCCAUGUUCCAUAGCUGCCUCCUCACCCAGACACCCAAGAA
Molecule: non-coding RNA, 97 nt
Organism: Chelonoidis abingdonii (Abingdon island giant tortoise)
Lineage: Eukaryota; Metazoa; Chordata; Testudines; Testudinidae
Source: RefSeq, a predicted model, not a curated record